UUUCCGUAGGUGAACCUGCGGAAGGAUCAUUAGUGAAUUGAAUAUGUUAGCGGACCUCUUCGGAGUCCCUAGCAUCAAAUCAUAUCCAUAACACCUGUGAACUGAAAGGCUGUCUUGAAAACGAAAGUGAUUAGAGCGCCUGCCCAUUUUAUACAAACAUUAAAGUAACCAACGUAGUCUUAUUAUAAUCUAAUAAAACUUUCAACAACGGAUCUCUUGGCUCUC
RNAcentral lists this unclassified non-coding RNA (225 nucleotides) under plant metagenome. Its description in RNAcentral is "partial contains small subunit ribosomal RNA, internal transcribed spacer 1, and 5.8S ribosomal RNA". The record is from RNAcentral.